RNAcentral lists this ribosomal RNA (250 nucleotides) under uncultured bacterium. Its description in RNAcentral is "partial 16S ribosomal RNA". It matches the Rfam family "Bacterial small subunit ribosomal RNA", at positions 804 to 1058 of the family's 1533-position model. The record is from RNAcentral.
AAACGAUGGAUGCUCGUUGUCGGCCUUUGUGGUCGGUGACCAAGCGAAAGCGUUAAGCAUCCCACCUGGGGAGUACGCCGGCAACGGUGAAACUCAAAGGAAUUGACGGGGGCCCGCACAAGCGGAGGAACAUGUGGUUUAAUUCGAUGAUACGCGAGGAACCUUACCCGGGCUUGAACUGCGGCGGAACGAUUCCGAGAGGAUGAGGCCCUUCGGGGCUGCCGCGGAGGUGCUGCAUGGCUGUCGUCAG